CCUACGGGGGGCUGCAGUAGGGAAUCUUCCGCAAUGGACGAAAGUCUGACGGAGCAACGCCGCGUGAGCGAAGAAGGCCUUCGGGUCGUAAAGCUCUGUUGUCAGGGAAGAACAAGUGUCGGAGUAACUGCCGGUACCUUGACGGUACCUGACGAGAAAGCCACGGCUAACUACGUGCCAGCAGCCGCGGUAAUACGUAGGGGGUGAGCGUUAUCCGGAAUCACUGGGCGUAAAGGGUGCGUAGGCGGCCGAUAAAGUCUGGGGUGAAAGGCUACGGCUCAACCGUAGUAAGCCUUGGAAACUUAUUGGCUUGAGUGCAGGAGAGGAGAGCGGAAUUCCUGGUGUAGCGGUGAAAUGCGUAGAUAUCAGGAGGAACACCAGUGGCGAAGGCGGCUCUCUGGACUGUAACUGACGCUGAGGCACGAAAGCGUGGGGAGCAAACAGGAUUAGAUACCCCUGUAGUC
This 464-nucleotide ribosomal RNA is filed under the name uncultured bacterium. Its description in RNAcentral is "bacterial SSU rRNA". It matches the Rfam family "Bacterial small subunit ribosomal RNA", at positions 338 to 795 of the family's 1533-position model. The record is from RNAcentral.